RNAcentral lists this long non-coding RNA (1788 nucleotides) under Ananas comosus (pineapple). RNAcentral describes it as "long non-coding RNA (ACOM_LNC021658)". The record is from RNAcentral. Lineage: Eukaryota; Viridiplantae; Streptophyta; Magnoliopsida; Poales; Bromeliaceae.
ACACCUGAUGAGAACGUCAAGAAUUUGGGAGAAAAUGUGACAUUAAUUCUCAUAAUUUGAAAUAGUUUUUCAUAUAUAUAUAGAGUAAUUUUAGAAUAGAUGAUCCUCCUCAAAAGCAGGACGUCAUAGCAGUUUUCUUUGAACCCAUUAGAGUAAGUCCAUCUAUGAUCAAAAAUACUACUUGUACAUCCAAAUCGGGGUGUACAAAUUACAUCUCAUUCAUCGAAUGGAUGAUCCUCCUCAAAUGCAGGACGUCAUAGUAGUUUCCUUUGAACCCAUUAGAGUAAGUCCAUCUAUGAUGGAAAAUACUAUUUGUACAUUCCAAUCGGGGUGUACAAAUUACAUCUCAUUCAUCCAAUGGAUGGGAGUGAACUUUUAGUCACAUCAACUGACUAGUAAAAGCAUCUACCUAUUCCCAUUCAAUGAAUAGGAUGUAGGAUAUAUAUCCCAAUUGGGGUGUAUACAUAGCACUGUUCAUUCAUGAUACAUCCAGUAACUUCAGGCAAAAAUAUUAUAUAUAUAUAUAUAUAUAUAUAUAUAGAGAGAGAGAGAGAGAGAGAGAGAGAGAGAGAGAGAGAGAGAGAGAGCUAGUCUCUUAUACUUUCUAUAGUACUGGGGCUCCGAUAUUAUAGUUCCAUUUUCGAUCUUAGGCUGUUCAAAUUAACGAUCCACACCGUUAAAACUGAUAUAAGGAAUUUAAAAUUUUUAGAACUAAAAUUUUAUAUUUUUUUCGACAUAGUUUAUUUUAUGAUCAAAUGAUUUCAAAUUGUCAAUUUUCAAUGGCUAUUAUGACGAAUUUAGAGUUUAAUGGUGUAGAUGAAUCAAAAUUUCUUCAAAUUUUGAUAGACAAUACUUUAAACUAUCUAUAUUAAGUUUAACAUUCUUGAUUUUGAAUUUAAAAGUCCUAUGCUCAAAUUUUAAAGAGUAUUCAAUUUUCACCAUCCAUAUUUGACAUAAUUUAUUUACUAAGUAAACGAUGUCGAAAAUAAUUAAAAUUUUAUUCUUAAGAACUUCAUAUAUUCUAGAUCAUAUUUAACGGUGUGGAUCGUUAAUUUGAAUACCCUAAGAUCGAAAACAAGACUAUAGUACCGAAGCUUCGGUACUAUAGUUAGUAUAGUAGCCUAAUUAUAUAUAUAUAUAUAUAUAUAUAUAUAUAUAUAUAUAUAUAUAGAGAGAGAGAGAGAGAGAGAGAGAGAGAGAGAGAGAGAGAGUUGAACUAGAAUGCUAACCGUAACAAACGGGCUCCGUUGCCACCCAUUUGUUUUCAAUGAUGGAGCUUCCAAAUCGAUGAUCGGAAUCGUUGAAUAUAAUCUAUACCACGUGAAGUAUCUAGAAAUCAAAUUUCAUGCUCUUUUGAUAUUAUUUUCUUGUCCAUCAAGUGAGCGUAAAAAUGAACGGCUGAAAAUGAAUAUCCUCUAAAAAGUGAUGAUGGAAAUUUUGUAAUCAUGAUCAAAAGUAUAGAUCUUAUUCUAAAUAGUUUAAAAAAAAUUUUAACCAAAAUUCAAUUGAUUUGAAUAACUUUACACCGUUAAAUGAAAAAACGUCUUAUAUCUACCAUUAAAAUUACAAAUUUUAAAACCCUUUGAUCAUUAGGUCAAUGAUGUCGAAAUGAUUUGAAAUUUGAAUUCUACAUACUUUAAGAGGUAUAGAUCAUGUUCAAGGCUGCUAAUCGUCAAUUUAAAAGCUCCAUCAUCGAAAACAAAUGGGUGACAACGGAACUAGUUUGCUACCGAUAGCAUCCAGCUCAACUAUAUAGCAUAAUUUUUUGUGAUUUGGUCGCUUGUGUUG